This 702-nucleotide long non-coding RNA is filed under the name Coturnix japonica (Japanese quail). RNAcentral describes it as "lncRNA (ENSCJPG00005011022.1)". The record is from RNAcentral. Lineage: Eukaryota; Metazoa; Chordata; Aves; Galliformes; Phasianidae.
GCUGUUUUUAAUUAUUUUGGGGUCCCCUGUUUCCCUUUUCCAGAGGCACGAAUUUUGCGAAAUCCCUCCGCCCUACUCAUCAGGGAACUGGAACAGCCUGUAAAUGAUUGACACACUGCCAUCUUGCAAGUGCUGAAGGUGGAUGUAUCUCAAGAAUCCUGCUUUUGCAACUCAAAGGAAAAGCUUUCAGCUUGCAUCUAAAACUAUGUUAAAGGAGACAUUUCUCUUUAAUUCCUGCAGUUACCUUAGAUGUGAGACUUUAAUCAGGAGCCUGCAAAGUCAGUGCAGUAACUUUCAUAUGGCAGAAGAGUCCUCAAUGCUCAGAAAGGUAAUAACAGAUCUUGUAAUGCCCACACUUACUAUCAGUGGUGUGAAAGAACUUGGCUGGGGAGCUGUAGCAUGGAUGAAGUGUCCUGAGAUGUCUGAUUGCAAUAAUGGCUCCAGGUGACAGUUAACAGCUGGUACAAGUUAAAGAAAUGUUCAUGCUGCUGAAUCAUCUGCUUGCAUCACAGUGGUGUAGCAGAGCCUGCUCUUUCAGUUGCAUUAGGUCUUACUGCUGUUAAUUAAUUUUUUCUCACUUGAGCAAGAUAACAGACUACUGUGUUCCUGAGUCUGCAGACAGUUUCAUUCACUUGAUCACAGGGAUGAACUUUUGCAUUAAAAACAGUAUUAAUAAUAAAUUGACAGGUGACAUCUGUUUCA